Molecule: ribosomal RNA, 352 nt
Filed under: Glomus sp. (unid)
Lineage: Eukaryota; Fungi; Glomeromycota; Glomeromycetes; Glomerales; Glomeraceae
Source: RNAcentral
CAGUCAUGUGGGCAAGUAAUCAACUUGGCAUUUUUUGCCUUGUGCACUUUCUUGUCUUUACAGGUCAACGUCAGUUUUGAUUGCCGGAUAAAAGCCAAGGGAAUGUGGCCCGCUUCGGGGGGUGUUAUAGCCCUGGUGAAUACGGUGGUCGGGACUGAGGUCUGCAGCCAAUGCUCUUAAAGGGCUGGGGAAUCGUCUACGCUCGUUUGGUGGGUUUGGUCCUUUCAGCUUGCUGAGCGGGCUAGGCUUACUAGCGAUACGAAGGGUUUUACCACAUGUUUGGCUUAGGUCGUUGACUUAAUGGUUUUAAACGACCCGUCUUGAAACACGGACCAAGGAGUCUAACAUAUGU